RNAcentral lists this ribosomal RNA (451 nucleotides) under uncultured bacterium. RNAcentral describes it as "partial 16S ribosomal RNA". It matches the Rfam family "Bacterial small subunit ribosomal RNA", at positions 354 to 796 of the family's 1533-position model. The record is from RNAcentral.
GUGGGGAAUAUUGGACAAUGGGGGGAACCCUGAUCCAGCCAUGCCGCGUGUGUGAAGAAGGCCUUUUGGUUGUAAAGCACUUUAAGCGAGGAGGAGGCUACCGAGAUUAAUACUCUUGGAUAGUGGACGUUACUCGCAGAAUAAGCACCGGCUAACUCUGUGCCAGCAGCCGCGGUAAUACAGAGGGUGCAAGCGUUAAUCGGAUUUACUGGCCGUAAAGCGCGCGUAGGUGGCCAAUUAAGUCAAAUGUGAAAUCCCCGAGCUUAACUUGGGAAUUGCAUUCGAUACUGGUUGGCUAGAGUAUGGGAGAGGAUGGUAGAAUUCCAGGUGUAGCGGUGAAAUGCGUAGAGAUCUGGAGGAAUACCGAUGGAGAAGGCAGCCAUCUGGCCUAAUACUGACACUGAGGUGCGAAAGCAUGGGGAGCAAACAGGAUUAGAAACCCGUGUAGUCC